AGCGAACGCUGGCGGCAGGCCUAACACAUGCAAGUCGAACGAACUCUUCGGAGUUAGUGGCGGACGUGUGAGUAACACGUGGGAACGUGCCUUUAGGUUCGGAAUAACUCAGGGAAACUUGAGCUAAUACCGGAUGUGCCCUUCGGGGGAAAGAUUUAUCGCCUUUAGAGCGGCCCGCGUCUGAUUAGCUAGUUGGUGAGGUAAAGGCUCACCAAGGCGACGAUCAGUAGCUGGUCUGAGAGGAUGAUCAGCCACAUUGGGACUGAGACACGGCCCAAACUCCUACGGGAGGCAGCAGUGGGGAAUCUUGCGCAAUGGGCGAAAGCCUGACGCAGCCAUGCCGCGUGAAUGAUGAAGGUCUUAGGAUUGUAAAAUUCUUUCACCGGGGACGAUAAUGACGGUACCCGGAGAAGAAGCCCCGGCUAACUUCGUG
RNAcentral lists this ribosomal RNA (433 nucleotides) under uncultured bacterium. RNAcentral describes it as "partial 16S ribosomal RNA". It matches the Rfam family "Bacterial small subunit ribosomal RNA", at positions 29 to 507 of the family's 1533-position model. The record is from RNAcentral.